This 253-nucleotide ribosomal RNA is filed under the name uncultured bacterium. RNAcentral's name for it is "partial 16S ribosomal RNA". It matches the Rfam family "Bacterial small subunit ribosomal RNA", at positions 524 to 776 of the family's 1533-position model. The record is from RNAcentral.
UACAGAGGUCUCAAGCGUUGUUCGGAUUCAUUGGGCGUAAAGGGUGCGUAGGCGGCGCGGUAAGUCGGGUGUGAAAUCUCGGAGCUUAACUCCGAAACUGCAUUCGAUACUGCUGUGCUUGAGGACUGGAGAGGAGACUGGAAUUUACGGUGUAGCGGUGAAAUGCGCAGAUAUCAGGAGGAACACCGGUGGCGAAGGCGGAUCUCUGGGCCUUACCUGACGCUCAGGUGCGAAAGCUAGGGGAGCGAACAGG